UACGGGGGGGGCAAGCGUUGUUCGGAAUUACUGGGCGUAAAGGGCUCGUAGGCGGCCAACUAAGUCGGACGUGAAAUCCCCAGGCUCAACCUGGGAACUGCGUCCGAUACUGGAUGGCUUGAAUCCGGGAGAGGGAUGCAGAAUUCCAGGUGUAGCGGUGAAAUGCGUAGAUAUCUGGAGGAAUACCGGUGGCGAAGGCGAGUCCCUGGACAACUCCUGACACUGAGGCACGAAAGCUAGGGGAGCAAACAGG
This 253-nucleotide ribosomal RNA is filed under the name uncultured bacterium. RNAcentral describes it as "partial 16S ribosomal RNA". It matches the Rfam family "Bacterial small subunit ribosomal RNA", at positions 524 to 776 of the family's 1533-position model. The record is from RNAcentral.